RNAcentral lists this ribosomal RNA (539 nucleotides) under uncultured bacterium. RNAcentral describes it as "partial 16S ribosomal RNA". It matches the Rfam family "Bacterial small subunit ribosomal RNA", at positions 355 to 888 of the family's 1533-position model. The record is from RNAcentral.
UGGGGAAUUUUGGACAAUGGGCGAAAGCCUGAUCCAGCAAUGCCGCGUGUGUGAAGAAGGCCUUCGGGUUGUAAAGCACUUUUGUCCGGAAAGAAAUCCUUGGGCUCUAAUACAGUCGGGGGAUGACGGUACCGGAAGAAUAAGCACCGGCUAACUACGUGCCAGCAGCCGCGGUAAUACGUAGGGUGCAAGCGUUAAUCGGAAUUACUGGGCGUAAAGCGUGCGCAGGCGGUUUGCUAAGACCGAUGUGAAAUCCCCGGGCUCAACCUGGGAACUGCAUUGGUGACUGGCAGGCUAGAGUAUGGCAGAGGGGGGUAGAAUUCCACGUGUAGCAGUGAAAUGCGUAGAGAUGUGGAGGAAUACCGAUGGCGAAGGCAGCCCCCUGGGCCAAUACUGACGCUCAUGCACGAAAGCGUGGGGAGCAAACAGGAUUAGAUACCCUGGUAGUCCACGCCCUAAACGAUGUCAACUAGUUGUUGGGAUUCAUUCCUUAGUAACGUAGCUAACGCGUGAAGUUGACCGCCUGGGGAGUACGGUCG